Rhincodon typus (whale shark) is the source of this 1020-nucleotide long non-coding RNA. RefSeq lists it as uncharacterized. The transcript is spliced from 3 exons. The record is from RefSeq and is a predicted model, not a curated record. NCBI's taxonomy places the organism in Eukaryota, Metazoa, Chordata, Chondrichthyes, Orectolobiformes, Rhincodontidae.
CACUCUAGUCCCGCUCCUCCAGGGACAGGGGACACUCUAGUCCCGCUCCUUUGGAGAGAGGGGGCACUUUAGCCCCGGUCCUGCAGGGUCGCCUGACGGUGUGGUCCCAGUACUCCCGAGAGGAGAUAGAUUGAGGGAGGUGAAGAAUUAAAGAGGAAUGAGCAAAAACCUGAGGGGAAUCGGAUUGAGCUAAGGGCCGCGGGGCGGACAAAGAUCCGGAUUCCGGACGGCGACCAACUAAAAUGGAGAGCGGGGAGGAAGCGACGACACUCUGACGGGCGGACGUGGCGUUAACGUGCUGCAGUUGGCCCAAGAGGGGUAGGGGGCGGAAGUGGCGCCACAGCGUCGCCCCGUCAUAGUGAGCGGGACGGACGUGAUGUUUAGCAACUCGCAGUCGGCUACCCAUGGCAAGUGGGGAGGAGAAAUUCAAAUGAAGAGUCAUCUGGACUCGAGACGUUAGCUUCUUUUCUCUCUAUUGAUACUGACUGACCCACUGCGAUUUCCAGCAAUUUCAACUUACUGCGUGGUGAGGGGGGGGGAAGUAGAUGUCAUUGUCGCAGCGGGGCGGAAGUGACGUCUAGUUGUGCGCUAGUCCAGCCGGUGCUGCGGGGCGGAAGUGACGCUGUGGUCACGUGAUGUCCAAUGGAGGCGGGCCGGAAGUGGCCGUCGCUUGGGGCGGCCUAGCUGCUCUUGUUAAAGCCUGAGGCGGGAGAGAGAUGGAGCUGGAGCGGCCGGGCACGGCGGCUGGUGACGCGGUGACACCGGAGCCCUCUCACCUUGAAGAGCUGGAGCCGACAGACCCCGACACGGUGAACGCUCCCGUCUACUGCAUCUGCCGACGGCCCGACAUCAACUGCUUCAUGAUCAAACGACACCACCUUAGCCAUUAAAUACCGUCAGAAGAAGGCGAAGGAGAGGGAAGGCCCAGCGGUGCUGGAGAAGGAGAGGCAGAAGGAGCAGGGCGAGGCCCGAAUGGACAAGAAGAAGGUGGCGGCUAAUGUAAGGAUGGGGCAGGCGGUG